UACGGAGGGUGCAAGCGUUGCUCGGAAUCACUGGGCGUAAAGCGACCGCAGGCGGUCGAUCAAGUCGAGUGUGAAAGCCCCCGGCUCAACUGGGGAGGGUCAUUCGAUACUGAUCGACUCGAAGGCAGGAGAGGGUAGUGGAAUUCCCGGUGUAGUGGUGAAAUGCGUAGAUAUCGGGAGGAACACCAGUGGCGAAGGCGACUACCUGGCCUGUUCUUGACGCUGAGGCGCGAAAGCUAGGGGAGCAAACGGG
This 253-nucleotide ribosomal RNA is filed under the name uncultured bacterium. RNAcentral's name for it is "partial 16S ribosomal RNA". It matches the Rfam family "Bacterial small subunit ribosomal RNA", at positions 524 to 776 of the family's 1533-position model. The record is from RNAcentral.